UGGGGGAUAUUGCACAAUGGGGGAAACCCUGAUGCAGCGACGCCGCGUGUAGGAAGACGGUCCUCUGGAUUGUAAACUACUGUCUUCGGGGACGAUAAUGACGGUACCCGAGGAGGAAGCUCCGGCUAACUACGUGCCAGCAGCCGCGGUAAUACGGAGGAUCCGAGCGUUAUCCGGAUUUAUUGGGUUUAAAGGGAGCGUAGGCGGAUUAUUAAGUCAGUUGUGAAAGUUUGCGGCUCAACCGUAAAAUUGCAGUUGAUACUGGUAGUCUUGAGUGCAGUAGAGGUAAGCGGAAUUCGUGGUGUAGCGGUGAAAUGCUUAGAUAUUAGGAGGAACACCAGUGGCGAAGGCGGCUUACUGGACUGUAACUGACGUUGAGGCUCGAAAGUGUGGGUAUCAAACA
This 403-nucleotide ribosomal RNA is filed under the name uncultured bacterium. Its description in RNAcentral is "bacterial SSU rRNA". It matches the Rfam family "Bacterial small subunit ribosomal RNA", at positions 355 to 774 of the family's 1533-position model. The record is from RNAcentral.